This 73-nucleotide transfer RNA is filed under the name Felis catus (domestic cat). It matches the Rfam family "tRNA". Rfam says of the family: Transfer RNA (tRNA) molecules are approximately 80 nucleotides in length. Lineage: Eukaryota; Metazoa; Chordata; Mammalia; Carnivora; Felidae. The record is from Rfam by way of RNAcentral. RNAcentral also lists the same sequence under 3 other names.
ACCAGGCUGGCUCAGUUGGUAGAUCAUGUGACUCAUGAUCUCAGGGUCAUGAGUUUGAGCCCCAUGUUGGGUA